This 379-nucleotide ribosomal RNA is filed under the name uncultured bacterium. Its description in RNAcentral is "bacterial SSU rRNA". It matches the Rfam family "Bacterial small subunit ribosomal RNA", at positions 30 to 390 of the family's 1533-position model. The record is from RNAcentral.
AGUGAACGCUGGCGGCAGGCCUAACACAUGCAAGUCGAGCGGCAGCGGGUCCCCGCGAGGGGAUGCCGGCGAGCGGCGGACGGGUGAGGAACACAUCGGAAUCUGCCUGGUUGUGGGGGAUAACGUAGGGAAACUUACGCUAAUACCGCAUGCGACCCUGAGUCGACGGACUUGGGGUGAAAGUGAGGGACCUUCGGGCCUCACGCGACCAGAUGAGCCGAUGUCGGANAGUCUAGUUGGCGGGGUAACGGCCCCGCCAAGGCGACGAUCCGUAGCUGGUCUGAGAGGAUGAUCAGCCACACUGGGACUGAGACACGGCCCAGACUCCUACGGGAGGCAGCAGUGGGGAAUCUUGGACAAUGGGCGCAAGCCUGAUCCA